RNAcentral lists this ribosomal RNA (393 nucleotides) under uncultured bacterium. RNAcentral describes it as "partial 16S ribosomal RNA". It matches the Rfam family "Bacterial small subunit ribosomal RNA", at positions 523 to 918 of the family's 1533-position model. The record is from RNAcentral.
AUACGGAGGAUCCGAGCGUUAUCCGGAUUUAUUGGGUUUAAAGGGAGCGUAGGUGGACAGUUAAGUCAGUUGUGAAAGUUUGCGGCUCAACCGUAAAAUUGCAGUUGAUACUGGCUGUCUUGAGUACAGUAGAGGUGGGCGGCAUUCGUGGUGUAGCGGUGAAAUGCUUAGAUAUCACGAAGAACUCCGAUUGCGAAGGCAGCUCACUGGACUGCAACUGACACUGAUGCUCGAAAGUGUGGGUAUCAAACAGGAUUAGAUACCCUGGUAGUCCACACAGUAAACGAUGAAUACUCGCUGUUUGCGAUAUACAGUAAGCGGCCAAGCGAAAGCAUUAAGUAUUCCACCUGGGGAGUACGCCGGCAACGGUGAAACUCAAAUGAAUUGACGGGG